AAGUCGUAAUAAGGUCUCCGUUGGUGAAUCAGCGGAGGGAUUAUUAUAGAGUUGUAAAACUCCCUACCAUUGUGAAUUUACCUCACCGUUGCUUCGGCGGGUAGCCUACUGAAUGUGGGCUGCGCAGGCUCUGUCUUCAGGGCCGGCACCCCGUCAGAAGACCUAAACUCUUCGUUUUUAUAGGCCUCUCUGAGUAACUUAUAUAAUAAGUUAAAACUUUCAACAACGGAUCUCUUGGUUCUG
RNAcentral lists this unclassified non-coding RNA (243 nucleotides) under fungal sp. Its description in RNAcentral is "partial internal transcribed spacer region". Lineage: Eukaryota; Fungi. The record is from RNAcentral.